AUUUUAUCUAAUACCCAGUGCACCAACAGUUUGUGUAUGCCUGAGGAAUGACUGAGCACGAAGAAACAUUGAGUAUAACUGCCUUAUUGUAGAGCGUCUCCCAACAUUAUCACACGCACUAAUCAUCAUAGGACAAGGUAAAGAUGAAACAAGUGGCAUGCAUGUUCUCAGCUAUAGUAGUUCUAGCAACAGCCUGGGACCCUGUGAGGCCCGGAGCUUUAGUAAGGAAAAUCGGCGACAUGAUCAUUGUGAACCACUCAGUAAGAGUACUAUUGAAAUUUGACAAUAUAAAUGUUGUAAGAGAAAAUGUCAGACAUAUCAAUAAUGGGUUACAGAUGGUAAAAGACAAAUUGAUAAUCAGUGAGAUAUCCAAUGUGAGAUUAGAGAAGAAAUUAGAUGCUAUACAGACGAAGGUCACCAAAAUAGAAAAUAACUUCCUACAUAGCAAAAGCAAAAGAGGAGUAGGUAUCGCAAUAGCGAUCGGAUCGUUAGUAGGUCUUGGAGUAACAAAUAUUGGUUUGUAUGCAGAACUUCGCUCAAAUGUAAAUAAUCUACAAAACUCAGUGUCUAGAAUCGAUGUCUUACAAGAAGAAACAGAAGAUAUACAACUUACCAUAGAUGAGAUGAUUAAUAGCAUAGAAACCUUAAGCACAGAGAACUCUAAAUUGAAGGAAUCCCUGGAAAUUUUCAUGGUCUUGGAUCAGUUGCACAUUAAGAUAAAUGAACUAAAUGCUGAAAUGGAACAGUUAAUUCAAGACUUAGUUAUGGCUAAUGCUGGACAUGUUACAUACACAUUAUUUUCAAUAUCACAACUUCUAAACAUAACUCAACAAGCAAAAUAUGAGUGGAAUUUUCAACCUUUCUUUGAUUCAAAUAAUAUUGCUCUAUAUUAUCCCAUUCUUAAUUCAUUCAUAAAUGAUACUGGAGUACUCAUUGACAUACCAUUUUCAUCAGAAUUGAAAUAUCACAUGUAUAAUCUGAUUCCUUUCCCAAUGAAAUUUAAUAGUUCCAUUAUAACAGUUGAUACUGAUAUAACAUCUCCAACAAAUUACAUCCUAUCCAUAAAUGGUUUGAAAGAAAGUGUUAUAGUAAAUGAUGAUCUAUUGCACUGUAAGAAAACUAACGUAGACCUGUACAUUUGCUCAGCUACUUAUUUUACUUUCAAUGAAGCAUUGAGUCACUCAUGUGCCGCAUCCUUGGUGAAAAAUAUAUCCAUUGUACGUAAUUGUCAUUUUAAGGAAGAAACUCCCAUAACACGUCAUGAAACUAUCCAGGAAUCUCACUACUUAUAUUUUCCAAACAAGACAACUGUAUCAGUCAUAUGCCCAGGAUUUCAACCUCAGAUAGCAUCAAUAGAAGGCUUAUAUCGUGUACCAGAUCAAUGUGAACUUCAUAGCCCCACACUCACAACAGUAGCAAAUAGGAAAAAGACUAUUGUACUUAAUAGAGAAAAUGUUUUACAGGACAUUACUAUGAAAUUCCCAGACAGAGCUCCUCCUUUGAAAAUCAGAAAGAUUAACAAGAAAAGACUUGUAAAGCAAGUGUCAAAAACACACACAGGUACUAUGUGGUAUAUAAUAUAUGUACUUCCAUUUGUCUUGAUAGUCACAUUGAGCACAAUAUCAAUGAUACUUAUGUACAAGAAACUCAAGAAUUCAUCCAUCGAAAUGAAACACAUUUCCGAGCCGUAACCCUGUAAUAGGUAUGUAAAGAACAGCAAGCAUGAAAUACUGUAAAUAGAAUUUAUUGCAUAACAAUUUUGUCGGGACGACAAACGGUAGCUGCCGAGCCCUGUAAUAGGCACUACUUUGCAUGAAGAAAAGAAUAGAUAUAAGAGUAGAAUUAGAAGGAAAUUAGAGACGCGUUAGAGAAUCUAACGCUAGUAUUAGAAGAAUUGUGCAAGAGGUGAACAGGACGUUGAAUUGAUAACAGCCAAGCUUAACUAUAAACAGCCGGUUUGUUUUAUGCCCAUUCAGCUUGUUAAAGGCUUACCUCCCAUUGGGUGGAGAUUAAAACGUCAUUCAUUUUGCUUGAUAUUAUUGGCUAUGGAAAUCUAUGACGUAUGCCUCGACACCUCUCGGACAAUCCUCAAGUCACUUUUAGCAGCAGUAGCAGCCAGUCACCAAGAUAGUACAGACGCACAACCCGUGUCGCUCUGACUUGAGUUACUCAAAGACUUAGACUCUGAUCAAGACGCAAGAGUCUUAAUAACUUUGCUUAUAAUCUUAGUCGUGUGAUUGAGUAGUUAAGAAGUGCACUGUUGUUGAGCUGUAAAGACAAUUUAUAUUUUCUAAAUAAACUGCAACACGCCA
Long non-coding RNA from Scylla paramamosain (green mud crab), 2312 nucleotides. RefSeq lists it as uncharacterized. Lineage: Eukaryota; Metazoa; Arthropoda; Malacostraca; Decapoda; Portunidae. The transcript has 2 exons. The record is from RefSeq and is a predicted model, not a curated record.